AGAGGGGUGCCCCCGCGCGGGGCUGAGAUCAUACCCUAUGAACUUGAUGCGGUCAAUACCGCCGAAAGGACUUUGUU
RNAcentral lists this non-coding RNA (77 nucleotides) under human gut metagenome. Its description in RNAcentral is "TPP riboswitch (THI element)". It matches the Rfam family "TPP riboswitch aptamer (THI element)", at positions 9 to 90 of the family's 105-position model. Rfam says of the family: Vitamin B(1) in its active form thiamin pyrophosphate (TPP) is an essential coenzyme that is synthesised by coupling of pyrimidine and thiazole moieties in bacteria. The previously detected thiamin-regulatory element, thi box was extended, resulting in a new, highly conserved RNA secondary structure, the THI element, which is widely distributed in eubacteria and also occurs in some archaea. The record is from RNAcentral.